This 465-nucleotide ribosomal RNA is filed under the name uncultured Weissella sp. RNAcentral describes it as "bacterial SSU rRNA". It matches the Rfam family "Bacterial small subunit ribosomal RNA", at positions 338 to 795 of the family's 1533-position model. The record is from RNAcentral. Lineage: Bacteria; Bacillati; Bacillota; Bacilli; Lactobacillales; Lactobacillaceae.
CCUACGGGAGGCUGCAGUAGGGAAUCUUCCACAAUGGACGAAAGUCUGAUGGAGCAACGCCGCGUGUGUGAUGAAGGGUUUCGGCUCGUAAAACACUGUUGUAAGAGAAGAAUGACAUUGAGAGUAACGGUUCAGUGUGUGACGGUAUCUUACCAGAAAGGAACGGCUAAAUACGUGCCAGCAGCCGCGGUAAUACGUAUGUUUCAAGCGUGAACCGGAUUUAUUGGGCGUAAAGCGAGCGCAGACGGUGCUCUAAGACGAAAGGGAAAGCCCAACUCUUAACUGUGGAAGUGGCUUCGAAACAUGAUAACUUGAGUGCAGUAGAGGAGAGUGGAACUCCAUGUGUAGCGGUGAAAUGCGUAGAUAUAUGAAAGAACACCAGUGGCGAAGGCGGCUCUCUGGACUGUAACUGACGUUGAGGCUCGAAAGUGUGGGUAGCAAACAGGAUUAGAUACCCGAGUAGUC